Molecule: ribosomal RNA, 184 nt
Filed under: uncultured Nitrospira sp.
Lineage: Bacteria; Pseudomonadati; Nitrospirota; Nitrospiria; Nitrospirales; Nitrospiraceae
Description: partial 16S ribosomal RNA
Rfam family: Bacterial small subunit ribosomal RNA
Source: RNAcentral
CCUACGGGAGGCAGCAGUAAGGAAUAUUGCGCAAUGGGCGAAAGCCUGACGCAGCGACGCCGCGUGGGGGAUGAAGGUCUCCGGAUUGUAAACCCCUUUCGGGAGGGAAGAUGGAACGAGCAAUCGUUCGGACGGUACCUCCAGAAGCAGCCACGGCCAACUUCGUGCCAGCAGCCGCGGUAAU